Pelobates cultripes (western spadefoot toad) is the source of this 348-nucleotide non-coding RNA. NCBI's taxonomy places the organism in Eukaryota, Metazoa, Chordata, Amphibia, Anura, Pelobatidae. The record is from the annotation of a GenBank genome assembly.
CUCACGCACUGCAUUUUUCUGAUUAAAAUAAAAACAAAAAACAAACCACGAGCACUGCACUCGCUUCCCCACCUUACUUGCUUGCCUGGUUGCUAAAACACAGACCAGUAGAUAGACGAAAUUGGACCGUACUAUUUUUUUAAGUAUAAGAGCUGAACAAUACUUUGUUCAGAAACAAGUUUCUUACAUGUCCAGGCUAAUCACUGCACACUGUGAUGAUUGCAAAGAACAAGUCUAAGCAUGUCAGAUUUAUUGCAAAGCUCGAGGCUUCACUUUGCAAGUUCAGACAUGUUAAGGUUUCAAUCCAAACUAUAUCCUUACCAAGAUACCACUCUGGGUACUUUAAAU